CUAAGUGCGUCAAGCAACCAUUCGCGUGCCAAAGGGGGGAUCGCUCAGGUCGUUGACAAAUUCACCGCAGUGGUGUGAAUUAGAGCAGAAAAGCUGCGGUUUAAUUUUUGAAACUUAAAAAAACACUUAGUCGUGUGAGAUUUUAGGAUUUGUGCGGUCAACUCGUCAAAUGCACGCUUUUCGAGUGAUUUUUAGCACCUUUCUGCUGUGGAAGGCGCACGCUGAAAUAUGGCCAGUAGAUUCAAGAGAGUUUGCUGUCGGGCAAACUACCGACAGAUCUCACACAGAAACUUCAAAACCGACGGAUGAAGGUCAUGGGGUUUCACAUCGCGACGCAAACAUGAAAAAUGCACUUGGCUCAAAACUCCAAUGGCUGAACACACUCUCCACGAAAUUCGACGCGGAACAAGGACCGAUCUCGAAAGAGCGUGACGCUAUGGACGAACAGACGAAGCUGCUGCCGCGCGCCAUCAAAGACUGGAAGCAGAAGUUACGUUUGUCCUCCAAGUCUCCUUCAACAUCGAAAGGGAUCACCCCGGAGAUGCUGCAAAGGCGACCGUCCUGGAAGGACAAAGCUAAGAGUAUCGGAAGGAAAGCGUGGGGCGCUGCGCGUUCAUUGAGCGGAAGCUUGAGCGCAAGUUUCAGCGGACGGAGGUAUCGCGAGGACCCGAACUUCGAGGACGUCCCGGGCACCCCGGGACAAGGAAGCCCUCGUAGCAACAACAGCAGUCCUGGGAGGAGGAGAAGCUCUCAGUCACCAUCUCACGACCGUCGAGGAGCCGCCGCCGCCGGGAAUCAGAGGCGGUCCUCGUCCUGGCGCUAGAAGUAGGGAUGUAUUCGGACCGGGUUUAGCAGAAAGGAGCCAAGCCGCGUUAGGCAUCGCCAAAUAUAAUCGGGCAAUUUAGUUGUUUACAAUUGUGCGGAUUUUUGUGCAAAUUUCAGAGAAUUUUCUGCGUAGUUCGAAGCAAUUCAACAAAAUUCCUUUAUGGAAGUUGAUCUCGUGCAGCAGGAAGUGGACGUCCCGUCAUCUCCCGUUAUCUUCCGUAACCUCCAGUCACCUCCAGUCACCUCCAGUAACCUCCAGUCACCUCCAGUCACCUCCAGUCACCUCCAGUCACCUCUCUCAAGAAAGGUGCCAAGCCACAAUUUAACUGGACAGAUUAAUUUUUUACAGGAGGACAUUUGUGAGGAUCCUUUAGGCAACCCUGGCGGGAGUCGACCAAAUGCGACAGGAGGUGGAUGUCCUGUCAAUUCCCGUCACUUUCAGUAACUUCCCAUCACCUCCAGUCACAUCCAGUCACCUCCGGUCACCUCCAGUCACCUCCGGUCACCUCCAGUCAACUCCAGUCAACUCCAGUCAACUCCAGUCACCUUAAGUCACCUCCAGUCAUCUCCAGUCACCUCCAGUCACCGCCAGUCAUCUCCCGUCACCUCCCCGUCACCUCGCGAGAGCCUGUGCAGAGGGAAGCGAAACAAAGGCAUGCAUACAACAGCUCUAGAACCGAUGGCUAUGACGUAUAACGUAAUGUCGACAUAUUUUUCUCCAACCUGAUGAGUGCGUCACGCCCGUCUAAUGAAAUGUUGCAACGUUUGAGUACGCAUACGGUGUUUUUCUGUUGUACCAUAACGUGCGUAACAUCGAACUCCUCGAACAAAAAAGGGAAAAACAGGUAGACAUUUCCAUUAAAACCCACAAAAAAUUGACGCAUCAGAAUACGCACGAUUCAAUUUCAGAACUUUUUUCAAUAAUACAUUUUCUAUUUACUCACUCAAUCGCAUGGUUAUUGUUUUUCUGAAGCGUACCUCAUGGCUGCGUCCAAAUUUUGAGCAACUAUUUACUAUCAUAGAAAGGUUUUAACAAGUCUUUCAUAAAUAUAAUUUAGCAGUGUUUUCGAAGAAGAAUAUAAAAUUUGAGGAACAAUCUCUAAAAAGGGUCUUCAAGACAGAAGCCAAACCCUAAUUUUUUUCCAUGUAUUAUUUUUAUCAAGUUUUUAUCAUUCGAUGUGUGCUAUAACAUGAAAAAGUAGAAUUUGGAGCUUAGGAUCAUUUUUCUGAUAUGCUCGUUUGCUUAUUCAUAUCUUUAAAAUUUGGUGGAAAAAAAAAAAAAAAAACACUAAGAAGAAAAUUUGGUGGACUUACAUUUUGAAACCGUUUUUUGAUAAUUGUAUAAGUUGGCUUGUUCCAACUGCAUUUUUUUAUAUGUAUUAAGUAAUACGUGGCUGGCCAGGUUGGCCUGGUGGUUAGCUCGUUGGAGGAUUCGAAUCCCGGAUUUUUAAGGAAGCGGCGAGUGGAUCUGCCGAAACUCGGCCUUAAUCCAGGAAAACCUGGAGCAUAGAUGUGUGCUAACCCUAACCCGAUGCUCAUUCCAGGUUGCAGAAUCAUCAAAUGGUUUAAAAACUUCUAAUGACUAAAAAAAAGUACUACGUAAACUGAACUCAGCGGAGUGGUAACUGACGUACCUUGCAACAAGAAAGAAAAAUAAGAGGAGAGAUAAAAAAGGAAAAUUGCUUUUUUACUAGAUCACCUAGAACGGGUUUAUGAUAUUUUUGAUUUAAUUGACUUUUACAUCUCACUUGUAGGAUCUCCAAUUUUUAUUAGAAUCGGCAAGGACUGACUGACAUAAGAUUGCAAAAAAUGUUACGGUACUUAUACUGGAUCAAUAUUUUUCGAAUUUUACACAAUUAAGCGCGGUGUGCAUACACCGUGCUUAUUGGCCAGGUUGCGUAAACCUGCGGCUGAUGCAUGUAGCAUCACCCAUUGAAUCGUGGGUAAUUUUAAAGCCGUUCCUGUGGCGGGAAGGUAGUUGAAAUUAUGAAUCAUCAUAGCAAAUUAAUCGGAUCAUUUAAGCUGUUGGAUCACUUGAUUUAAUCGAUCCCGUAUCGAACUGAGUAGAAUUUUCAUUACUUGAUUAGUUGAAAUCUGUGAAUCAUUUCGCAAAUCCCUCUUUUGUUCAGACCAAACUGCUGUUUAAAAUAUUUCCAUAAAAUUACACGUGCAAGUAUGAAGAAACCGUCGUCUUCGGUUCGAUUACUUCUAAUUGGUCAAUACCUUGAUUUGAGCGUUUCUGAUUGGUCCAUCGUUUGCGGAAUGUUACUGUGCAUUUAUGAUGACUUGCUCCACGACAGCUUAUUCAAUCUCCUAUCAAUACUGUAGUCAAAUUUAAGUUGUAUCAUUUACUUCCUUGUAUAAAACUUAUUUUUAAUAAUGGUCAAUUGAACGUGGCGUAAAUCGAGUGUUUACAUCAUGUACCUAAUUUUAAUUGAAGUCAAGGUGUCAUUAAUCAUUUAAAACCCCUUAAUCGAAUAAUUUCGUGUUAGUGGCAGUUCUUGAUUAAAAAAUGUUGCUCUUGAGAAGCCGCGGCCGCCAUUAUCCCACCUCAAAUUUUAAAAAUGAAAAUAAAGAAAUAAUUACCAUCGCACAAGGUGGAAAAUUGCUCUGGAGAACUCGUUUCUGACAAAGGAGCCAAAAUCAGAACUCGAUUGAUUGAUUUAAUUCAUGAAUACGCAAAUAUUGGAUCAGCUCAAAUUCCGCGACAGCGAAUGCAUGCUGAGAUGAGCCUUGAGACACAUCAAAGCAUAGGCAAACAAUGUCUCACAGAGGAAGGCGCUUACUUCGUCCUGUCACUCAAGGACAUCUUUUGUGAAGCCCCGCUCAGCGUCCGAGAUCACUUAAGAGUUCUCUUUUCUCCCCUCUAACCACGUGUUCCGAGAUGGCUCAGUUGUCUACGGCACCACGUUGGCGAAAGAUUCUCCUCCUCUUCGUGCGAGCGGGGGUUCGAUUCUCGUAGGGGACGGUUAAUUUUUACUGGUUGUAUUGAAUGUUUCAGACCAAUCGUCAAACAAUAAUUAAUACUAGAUGAUAAAUGUACGAACAUUUUCUCGUGAGUUAAUAUGUCAGACAAAAAUACUGGAAUAUACCUCCUUCAUAUAAUUAGCCACAUGUUCACUCAAAUUAAUAACGUUAUUUUCUUUGUAAAUCCCCUAUCAAUACUGUAGUCAAAUUUAAGUUGUAUAAUUUACUUCCUUGUAUAAAACUCAUUUUUAAAUAAUGCUCAAUUGAAGGUGGCGUAAAUCGAGUGUUUACAUCAUAUACCUAAUUUUAAUUGAAGUCAAGGUGUCAUUAAUUAUUUAAAACCCCUUAAUCGAAUAAUUUCGUGUUAGUGGCAGUUCAGAUAAAGAACCAACUUGAUUAUGAAUCAUGCCGCGCUUAUCCAACACCUCGUGUUGGACUUUCCUGCUUGUUUAUAUAUUAACUCAAUUAUGCUGUUGGUUCAUUUAUGACACAUUUAUACAAGGCUGAUUGUGUAUUUUAUUCUUACGAAAAUAUUUUAUCUUAUGGUAAUCAAUUCAAAUUUUUACAAAAUGUAUCUAUUCGAUAAAAUCGUUAUAUUUUCUUGUGGCCUUGUCAUUUUAGGAUUGAUUCUUUCGCAGAAUGUUUUGUCUGUAAAGUGCCUCAAUGUUAAAUAAAAAUAAAACCAAUUGACUUUGGAAUUUUUUGUAGAAAAUCUCCUGUAAAUGUAGAACCUGACGAUUUUUUUUCUCAGAUCCAUGCCAGUGGGCCAAUGUAGAUAUGUUGGAUGGCCCUGAUUUCAAUCGACCUUAUUUUCGACAGGAAUAAAUUGUUGUAAAGCAGAUUCAAUCAGAGAAUUCUAACCUCAAGCAGUCUGUUGCAUGCAAGAUUUUGCACCUCGAAUUUUUUGGAUUCAAAAGCCGUGCCUCUUUUACAGUCUAAAAAAAUAAGUCUUGUGCGUCAAAAAAUAAUCAAAAUUUAGAGAAUUAGGGAGAUGUGUUUGAAAGUGCUAUAUCACGCAACUUUUCACCUCGUAAAAUUUUAUAGGAAGGCCUAAUGAUGCUCUCUUUGGAAUUCAUCAGUGGAAAGGAUGUUCUACUUUUUAAAGUGGGUGAAAAAAAUUCAUCUAAAAAUAGCCAAUAAAAUUAUACACAGCUCAAUGAGUGGUGAAUCAGUUUGACGUCAAAUAGAGGAAUAGGUGGAAAUUAG
RNAcentral lists this long non-coding RNA (4998 nucleotides) under Bemisia tabaci. RNAcentral describes it as "lncRNA ENSASIAIIG001518". The record is from RNAcentral. Lineage: Eukaryota; Metazoa; Arthropoda; Insecta; Hemiptera; Aleyrodidae.